GCCAGUGGUGAACUCCACAUACGCAUCCUUUGCUGAGGAUACGGUUAACGGAGCGAAAGCGACGUUCAACCGCAAAAGAAGCAGAGGGGGCUUAGUGGUGGGGUGACUGCGUACCUUUUGUAUAAUGGGUCAGCGACUUAUAUUCUGUAGCAAGGUUAACCGUAUAGGGGAGCCGGAGGGAAACCGAGUCUUAAUUGGGCGUUAAGUUGCAGGGUAUAGACCCGAAACCCGGUGAUCUAGCCAUGGGCAGGUUGAAGGUUGGGUAACACUAACUGGAGGACCGAACCGACUAAUGUUGAAAAAUUAGCGGAUGACCUGUGGCUGGGGGUGAAAGGCCAAUCAAACCGGGAGAUAGCUGGUUCUCCCCGAAAGCUAUUUAGGUAGCGCCUCGUGAAUUCAUCUCCGGGGGUAGAGCACUGUUUCGGCUAGGGGGCCAUCCCGGCUUACCAACCCGAUGCAAACUGCGAAUACCGGAGAAUGUUAUCACGGGAGACACACGGCGGGUGCUAACGUCCGUCGUGAAGAGGGAAACAACCCAGACCGCCAGCUAAGGUCCCAAAGUCAUGGUUAAGUGGGAAACGAUGUGGGAAGGCCCAGACAGCCAGGAUGUUGGCUUAGAAGCAGCCAUCAUUUAAAGAAAGCGUAAUAGCUCACUGGUCGAGUCGGCCUGCGCGGAAGAUGUAACGGGGCUAAACCAUG
Molecule: ribosomal RNA, 699 nt
Filed under: Salmonella enterica
Lineage: Bacteria; Pseudomonadati; Pseudomonadota; Gammaproteobacteria; Enterobacterales; Enterobacteriaceae
Also listed under: 1 other name
Description: partial 23S ribosomal RNA
Rfam family: Bacterial large subunit ribosomal RNA
Source: RNAcentral